AAGAUCCAAACGGAAACCCAGGCCACCAUGCAGGACCACAGGCCUGCCCGUCCAGCUGCCUCCCCGACUGCAGACCUGGCCAGCGCCCCCUGAAGCUCCUCCUCCUUCUUGGUCAACUGGACUUUGAGCUCAUCGACCUGUGCCUGCAGCUCAGCGAUCUGGUCCUGCAGAUCGGUUGUUUCCCCAUCCAGCUUCCGUUUGGCCUUUUCCAGUUCCUGUCGAGUUUUCUCCUCCUUCUUCAAGCGUUCUGUAAGGCAGGACAGAAGCAGCCCUUCACCACACUGCAGAGCACACACAUGAACGUCCGGGCUAUGAAGACUGAGUAUGUUCUUCAGCGUGGGGAAGCUGCUGCUUUGUACAGCAGGAAGAUCAGGAUCUCCCCUUCGCAGGGAACAAAGGAAAAGCAUCCUAUCAUAUCGGCAUUCUCAUUCAUGUUAAGGUAUGUUUGGACAGACAGACAAAAAGGGUAAAGGUCAGCGAUAAAUACCUC
Molecule: long non-coding RNA, 490 nt
Organism: Mus musculus (house mouse)
Lineage: Eukaryota; Metazoa; Chordata; Mammalia; Rodentia; Muridae
Product: predicted gene, 53684
Exons: 3
Source: RefSeq, a predicted model, not a curated record